GGGGCCUUCAGCCCGGGUCCCAGAGUGUUCACAGUGUCCUUGGCCACUGGGCGGAGCUACCAGGUGGGUGAGGUGUCCCGGUGGAGAGAAGUGCAGGGCUGGCAUGUGGAAGGAGCUGCCGCGCUCCGCACACGUCGUAGCAGAUGAAGAGCCUCAUCCUCCUGAUGCUGGUGGACGCCGCUCCAGAAGUCCGCUAGAUCUUAGGGAUACUGCAAAGCCGCGGCUUCCAGGGCAGACCCUUGCGGGUCAGCCUGUAAACGGGGCGCUUUCCCCCAGCAGGUCUGUGCUAAAUUUGCUGACGCCUUGCAGGUGUUGGCUGUUGCUGUAGGACUUUUCUAUAGCGCGGGUCUCAGAGCAAUGGAGGAUUUUAUUUAAAGUUCCGCCCCAAGCUUACCGUAGGUCAGUUACCAGUUAGUUCUUCCGGUUCACGACUCAGGGGCAUCAGAGCGCGGUUCUUUUCCAGGGAGGCGUCUGCCUGGUACUGGGAGUAGCUUAUGCGGGAGAUAUGCCAGGUUAGCCACUGGUGCUCCCUGGUCUCAGGUGGGGUCCUAGAUGCCAGGCCUGGGAGUGGCUUCUUCCCCUGCCCCAGCCCCGCCCUGCCCUGGCCAGGCAGUGGCUGGACCACCGGCCAUGACCCCAGCGGGAAAGAGAAGAUCCCAGACCCGGUCAGCUAAGGAGGCAUUGCCUGAACAAAACUCUGGGUGAAGACUGCAUUUCAGAUAUCAUCAGAAAUAUAUUAAGAACUCAAAGUACUGCGCUUGGUGAUGAAAUAUGGAGAAAUGAUGUUCAUCAUAUCUGAUUUUACAAUAGAAAAUAGCUAUAGUGUCAGGAAAUAAAGAAAAAAUAUAUAGGUGAUUAAAAUGCAUUAGUUGGAAAUUGAUUUGUUUUGAUCUUUUUUUUGAAACAAAAGGGAAAAAGUAGAUGACUAUUCUACAUUCGAAAGGAUAAUGGUCUACUAUAGUAUUGCUGUUUGUAACUUCCUAUAUGCACAUCCCACCUGUGUCUGAUGAAGGCUCUAUUUUCCUUGCAAACAUGGUCUGUAUUAGAAUUUUUGUUCCAUAUUCCAGUAAAGCUUUAUUUACACCAACAGGGAGCAUGCCAGAUUUGCUGACCACUGUAGAGCACAGGUAUGAUCAAAACUCUCUGCUUCAUUGAGAUUAAUCAGUAAGAAUAUUAAGUAUGAGAAUCAUCAAUAGUAGUGGCUUGCUGUUGGAUCAACAUGUUGUAUAAAGAGAGUUCUAGACUUUUAUUUCAGAGAACCUGAAUAGAACGCAACUACAUAUAUAGGCUGGCAAAUGUUCAUUUCAUUUUGCUUUCGUUUCAACAAACUGUACCUUUCUGCUCUUAAAACUCCUGUAAAAUGAUUCUGCAUAAUAAAAUAUUAGGAAAAAAGUA
Sus scrofa (pig) is the source of this 1395-nucleotide non-coding RNA. Lineage: Eukaryota; Metazoa; Chordata; Mammalia; Artiodactyla; Suidae. The record is from RefSeq and is a predicted model, not a curated record.